RNAcentral lists this ribosomal RNA (460 nucleotides) under uncultured bacterium. Its description in RNAcentral is "partial 16S ribosomal RNA". It matches the Rfam family "Bacterial small subunit ribosomal RNA", at positions 338 to 795 of the family's 1533-position model. The record is from RNAcentral.
CCUACGGGAGGCAGCAGUGAGGAAUAUUGGUCAAUGGGCGCGAGCCUGAACCAGCCAAGUAGCGUGAAGGAUGAAUGCCCUACGGGUUUUAAACUUCUUUUAUAAAGGAAUAAAGUGAGGCACGUGUGCCUUUUUGUAUGUACUUUAUGCAUAAGGAUCGGCUAACUUCGUGCCAGCAGCCGAGGUAAUACGGAGGAUCCGAGCGUUAUCCGGAUUGAUUGGGUGUAAAGGGAGCGUAGAUGGGUUGUUAAGUCAGUUGUGAAAGUUUGGGGCUCAACCGUAAAAUUGCAAUUGAUACUGGCAGUCUUGAGUACAGUUGAGGUAGGCAGAAUUCGUGGUGUAGCGGUGAAAUGCUCAGAUAUCACGAAGAACUCCGAUUGCGAAGGCAGCUUACUAAACUGCCACUGACAUUGAUGCGCGAAAGCGUGGGGAGCAAACAGGAUUAGAUACCCGAGUAGUC